UCGAGGCCGGGCGCCUUGCGGGACGGCAUGCUUUUGAUGGCCUGCCAAAUCUCAUCCUCGCUGAAUGGCGCAUCAAGAUCUUCCAGGUUUGAGGGCUCGAUGAAUUGCGACAGGUUAAUAGUGCAGUCACGCUGCAUGUCUGUCCUAAUUCGGCUGUCAAAGUGCUCGAAAGUGGCCGCGGCCAGCUUAGUAGCUUGCAUGUGCCCAUAUGGAUAUGAUCAUGGAUACGAUACAUGUGGAUCGGAGUUGUUAGACCUAGGUGAUUUUGUUGUUCCCCCCAAAGAAUGUUAUCAGUACAAAAUGACCAUAGGAGGAUGAUUUGGAUUAAUUCAAAGAGAUGGCGAUUUUGAUGGUAUGUGAUAACCUUGUGUGAGUUGUGCCAUGUGGGCCUCUUAAUAGUUGGUCUCAGAGAAAUGGUGUUUAAGUGCGUUAUGGUGAACUUUUACCCUCACACCCGAACCCUAUGCACCUUAAGUCUCACCAAUCCAUGACUUGGUCGAAUCGCGACGACAGAGUUGUAUGUGAAGGAUGUGGCCGUUGACCUAAUCCUUGCCCACCUAGCUAUUUGAUGAACAUCAUGAAUAACAUGUUUGUGAGUUCUUCGACAAGUUUCUCGUCAUCAUUGGUGACCUCUUUGUCUAUACCCCCUCGGAGGAAAAUCAUUAGCAACACCUAAGAAAGAUUUUUAUGUGGUUUUAGUUUGGUGAUUGUGAUAUUGAGGAGAUAGUCAAGGAUAUUAUGAGAUUUUAUGUUUAGUAAGUGAGCAUGUGAUUAUUAUGUUGGUGGAUAAACACAUUUUUAAUUAAUCUUGGAACAAUUUCUAUUUAGUUAGGUGAUUGUGAUCUUGAAUCGAAUUUCAUGGUGAAUUUUGAGAUUUUGGUUGAAUAUACUUUGAUGAUUGUGAUCUUGAGAUAGUCAAAGAUUUUUUCGGUGGAUAUGAGAUUUUAGGUCUAGUAGGUGACCGUGGUGAUUAUUAGAUUGGUGGAUAAACAUAUAUUUGAUUAAUCUUACAACAAUUUCUUAGUUAGGCAACUAUGGUUGAAUAUACUUUGGUGAUUGUGAUCUUGAGGAAACAGUCAAUGUUUUUGGUGCAUUAUGAGUUUUUAGGUAUAGUCGGUGACCGUGGUGAUUAUUAGUUUGGUGGAUACACAUAUAUUUAAUUAAUCUUACAUUGAUCUGUUAGUGAUGUGAAUAUGAUUUUGAACCAAAUUUCACGAUGGAUUAUGUGAUUUUUGGUGGAUCUAGUUAGGUGAUUGUCUCCUUGAAAAGAUACUUCAAGAUGUUCGAUGGAUUAUGAGAUUUUUGGUCUAAUUAGUGAGCAUAGUGAUUAUUAUAUUGGUGGAUAAACAAAUCUUCGAUCAAUUUUAAACAAUUUGGAUUUAGCUAGGUGAUUGUGAUCUUUUAACAAAAUUUCAUAGUGGAUUAUGAGAUUUUAGAUGGAUUUAGCUAGGUGAUUGUGAUGUUGAGAAAGAUUGUCAAUGAUGUUCGGUGGAUUAUAAGAUUUUAGGUCUAAUAGGUGAGCAUCAUGAUUAUUACAUUGGUGGAUAAACAAAUCUUUAAUUAAGUGGAACAAUUUGGAUUUAGUUUGGUGAUUAUGAUUUUGAAUCAAAUUUCUCGGUGGAUUAUGAUAUUUAUGUGGAUUUAGUCUGGUUAUUGGGAUCUUGAGGAGAUGGUCAAAGAUGAGUAGUGGAUGUUGAUUUUUAUGUCUAGUACGUGAGCAUGGUGAUUAUUAGAUUGGUGAAUAAACAUUUCUUUAAUUGAUCUUUCACUAAUUUGGGUAGCUGUGAUCUUGAACCACUCAAGAUGAAUGUCACCCUACAGAGCGAUAUAGGUUGAAUGUUCAUGAGAUACCUGGUUGUGUAAAAAGUGGUCUCUUGUUACCAAAGGAAUCGGUAGCAAAACCCAUCGAUGGAGAACCAAAAGAAGCAGCCAUUAGACACUAAACUCGUGUAAUCUUCUGUGUGGUUAGGGGCUCAUUUGAAGAGGUUGACAAAGAAGUACUAGACGGUGAAACUAGAAUGAGUGGGCGUUGAAGUUGUGCAAUUUUCGUUCCUUGUUGAUCCGGCUUGGCGUCCUUCCCUUGUAUGCGGGUUAUGUGUCACGGGCUUGACGUAGGAUCCUACGUUCCCUUGUUGGGGGUCGUUGGCCCGGGCGACAGGUAGCGUCAUGCUCACAUCUUGUGUGUUAGACAUUGCGGUGCCGACUGCCUUUGCUCCUGCAUCGCCGAUAGGUGGUGCUUGGGCGUUCGGCUAUGGCGGCGCCCAUCAAGGAAACACGGGUUGUGGGAUCGAGGCAGCACACAAAGCAACCCGUAGCCAGGCAAAGGAUGUCCAAUCGGACUGGAAUGGAGCGGAGAGUGCAUGAGGGGUGUGGUGAAAGGGGUCAAAAGAAUGACGACAAGGGAAGCGAGGAAGGCAGCUGCGAUGGUGAUCAGUUGUGGGCAGAUCCAAUUUUUGCACGUGGAUCUACUACUCAGGAUAGCAUGACAUGGUUGUUGUGGAGUGAGGUGCCACAAAUAUUGUGUUGUUUGGAUGAGUUUGGAGAGAUAGAAGUUGGUUGUGCUCUAGUCUACGCCUUCAACUGUACUAAGUGCAACUUAUUCCAAGUUUCUGUGCUCUCAAGCUUAAGCCUUUCUUUCUUUGAACCAGUCGUAAGCCCAAGAAACUGAGCCUAGCUAUUAAAGUUCUGAUAACAUGGACUUAUAUUGAUGUGCUUAAUUUACGGAAUUAUGAGAGCACCGCAUAAGAACGAAUAACUUUUGCGGCGAAUAAAGGCAAACUUUAGAUUGUGAUUGUGAGUCAAUCAUGUUACAUCCUUAAGCCCCAACAAGCACCAAGUUGGCUGGUGCCAUACGGAAGUUGUUUUGAGUAUUUAUGAUUGGAAGAUGAGAUAAUCUGAUGGUGUUGUAGAAAUGAUAUUCUGGAGAUAGUUAAAGAUGUUCGGUGGAUUAUGAGAACUUAGGUAUAGUUGAGCAUCGCGAUUAUUAUAUUGGUGUAUAAACAGAUCUUUAAUUAUUCUUGGAAUAAUUUGGAUUUAGUUAGGUGAUUGUGAUCUUGAACCAAAUUUUACGGUGGAUAAAUAACUUCAGUAGUACAUAUAUAGAUCCAUAGUCGGUCCAUUUAACUUGUGGUUUAUAUUGGAUUUAGAUAGCCACGAAAUUUGAGUUUACUUCAAUCAUGGUUAUGAUGUUGGUGGGUUGCUUUGUGUUAAGUUCGCACCUUUGGAGAUUUAAGUUGAAGAAAUAUAGGAUGUAGUAUGAACAACAUUAUAUAUACCGAAUUUAUAUAGGUUAGAUGAUAGUUAGCACCAUCAAUCAUGAUUAUGAAAAUUUGUGGAUUAUUAAAUCUUCUGUGAUUGGAUUAGUAGUAUAAGGAAACAAGGAUCUUGGAGUAACACAACUUGUGUCUCCUUUAGGUCGGAGUGAGAGUUAGCUGCAUCAAUCAUGAUUACGAAAAUUGGUGGAUUAUUGGAGCGCGUGGGAUUGAGGUAGUUACUUGGAUUUUAGGACUAAGAUAACUUUGGGGCACUCAGAUUUCUGAUGUUUUGAUAUAAGCUUAGUAGCUUGCAUGUGCCCAUAUGGAUAUGAUCAUGGAUACGANNNNNNNNNNNNNNNNNNNNNNNNNNNNNNNNNNNNNNNNNNNNNNNNNNNNNNNNNNNNNNNNNNNNNNNNNNNNNNNNNNNNNNNNNNNNNNNNNNNNCCCCCGUCGCGCCUGGCAGGCUUGUGGGGCCCACAUUGCUCCACCACCUCCAAUCUCAGCUCUAUUUAUUCCCUUUCAUCCGAAAAAAAAUCAAGGAGAAGAGUUCAUCGCGUUUUAUGAAAAGAAGGCGCCGCCACCUCCUGUUCUUCCUCUGGAGGGCAGAUCUGGAGUCCGUUCUAGGCUCCCGAGAGGGGAGAUCGUCGCCAUCGUCAUCACCAACCUUCCUUCAUCGCCAAUUCCAUGAUGCUCUUCACCGUUCGUGAGUAAUCUCAUCGUAGGCUUGCUGGACGGUGAUGAGUUGGAUGAGAUCUAUCAUGUAAUCGAGUUAGUUUUCACAGGGAUUGAUCCCUAGUAUCCACUAUGUUCUGAGAUUGAUGUUGCUACUACUUUGCCAUGCUUAAUGCUUGUCACUAGAGCUCGAGUGCCAUGAUUUUAGAUCUGAACCUAUUAUGUUGUCGCCAAUAUAUGUGUGUUAUUGAUCCUAUCUUGCAAGUUGUAGUCACCUACUGUCACGCCGAAGAUGCGACCCUAUCCUCAAUUUGGCACGAGGGCCUCAUCAGGGAUAGAAGCGCAUCUCGUUGUGUCGCAAGAAUGGAUAUCGUUACAAGUACAUGUACUAAAAAGAAGAGAUAUAUAGAAUUGGCUUACACUCGCCACAAGCUUCAUCAGAGUUACAUCAAUACAAUACAUAAACAUCAAGAAGAAGAGCAGGGUCCGACUAUGGACGAAAACAAACGAGAAAAGACGAACGACGUCCAUCCUUGCUAUCCCAGGCUGCCGGCCUGGAACCCAUCCUAGAUCGAUGAAGAAGAAGAAGAAGAAGAAACUCCAAAUGUACAAUCAAUGCGCUCGCAUCAAGUAACCUUUACCUGUACCUGCAACUGGUGUUGUAGUAAUCUGUGAGCCACGGGGGACUCAACAAUCUCAUUUCCAAAAGCAUCAAGACUAGCAAAGCUUAAGGGGUGAGGUAUGGGUAAGUGGUGAGGUUGCAGCAGCGGCUAAGCAUAUAUUUGGUGGCUAAACUUACGAGUACAAGAAAAAUAAGAGGGGGAAGAUCUACGCAUAACGGACGUGAACUACUCAUGAUCAAAUGAAUGAUCCUGAACACCUACCUAUGUCAGACAUAACCCCACCGUGUCCUCAAUCGGAGAAGGAACUCACGAAAGAGACAGUCAUGGUUACGCACACAGUUGGCAUAUUUUAAUUAAGUUAACUUCAAGUUAUAUAGAACCGGUGUUAAACAAAGUUUCCACGUUGCCACAUAACCGCGGGCACGGCUUUCCGAAAAUAUUUCACCCUGCAGGGGUGCUCCAACUAGUCCAUCACAAAUUACCACAAGCCGCAUAGAAAUCCUCAAUCACGAAGCUCGCGAUCUCGUCAGAUUCCCUAGUGGAAAACCUCAACUCUGAGAUUACCCAAAGCAUCACCGGAAUCCCGAUGAACAAGAUAUCUCGUCAAAGGUAAAACUAAUCCAGCAAGGCCGCCCGACGUGUCGACGAUCCCGAUAGGAGCCGCGUAUCUCGUUCUCAGGACACGACGGAUGAGCUAGCCGCGUAUCAAGGGGGUCCCCAUAACAACCCCGAUCGUGUUAGGAGCGCUCAAAUAUGGAACAUAACACCGGUAGCCGAAACUAAGGGGGCAAAGGUGGAACAAAACACCAGGCUAGNNNNNNNNNNNNNNNNNNNNNNNNNNNNNNNNNNNNNNNNNNNNNNNNNNNNNNNNNNNNNNNNNNNNNNNNNNNNNNNNNNNNNNNNNNNNNNNNNNNNGAUGAACAUCAUGAAUAACAUGUUUGUGAGUUCUUCGACAAGUUUCUUGUUGUCUAUUCCCCCUCGGAGGAAAAUCAUUAGCAACACCUAAGAAAGAUUUUUAUGUGGUUUUAGUUUGGUGAUUGUGAUAUUGAGGAGAUAGUCAAGGAUAUUAUGAGAUUUUAUGUUUAGUAAGUGAGCAUGUGAUUAUUAUGUUGGUGGAUAAACACAUUUUUAAUUAAUCUUGGAACAAUUUCUAUUUAGUUAGGUGAUUGUGAUCUUGAAUCGAAUUUCAUGGUGAAUUUUGAGAUUUUGGUUGAAUAUACUUUGAUGAUUGUGAUCUUGAGAUAGUCAAAGAUUUUUUCGGUGGAUAUGAGAUUUUAGGUCUAGUAGGUGACCGUGGUGAUUAUUAGAUUGGUGGAUAAACAUAUAUUUGAUUAAUCUUACAAAAAUUUCUUAGUUAGGCAAUUGUGGUUGAAUAUACUUUGGUGAUUGUGAUCUUGAGGAGACAAACAAUUUUUUUGGUGCAUUAUGAGUUUCUAGGUAUAGUCGGUGACCGUGGUGAUUAUUAGUUUGGUGGAUAAACAUGUAUUUAAAUAAUCUUACAUUGAUUUGUUAGUUAUGUGAAUAUGAUUUUGAACCAAAUUUCACGAUGGAUUAUGAGAUUUUAGGUGGAUCUAGUUAGGUGAUUGUGUUCUUGAAAAGAUACUUGAAGAUGUUCGGUGGAUUAUGAGAUUUUAGGUCUAAUUAGUGAGCAUAGUGAUUGUUAUAUUGGUGGAUAAACAAAUCUUUAAUUAAGUGGAACCAUUUGGAUUUAGUUUGGUGAUUAUGAUUUUGAAUCAAAUUUCUUGGUGGAAUAUGAUAUAUUUCCUGGAUUUAGUCUGGUUAUUGGGAUCUUGAGGAGAUAGUCAAAGAUGCGUGGUGGAUGUUGAUUUUUAUGUCUAGUACGUGAGCAUGGUGAUUAUUAGAUUGGUGAAUAAACAUUUCUUUAAUUGAUCUUGCACUAAUUUGGGUAGCUGUGAUCUUGAACCACUCAAGAUGAAUGUCACCCUACAGAGCGAGAUAGGUUGAAUGUUCAUGAGAUACCUGGUUGUGUAAAAAGUGGUCUCUCUUUACCAAAGGAAUCGGUAGCGAAACCCGUCGAUGGAGAACCAAAGAAGCAGCUAUN
RNAcentral lists this long non-coding RNA (6611 nucleotides) under Hordeum vulgare. Its description in RNAcentral is "long non-coding RNA (HVUL_LNC011831)". Lineage: Eukaryota; Viridiplantae; Streptophyta; Magnoliopsida; Poales; Poaceae. The record is from RNAcentral.